RNAcentral lists this ribosomal RNA (402 nucleotides) under uncultured bacterium. Its description in RNAcentral is "bacterial SSU rRNA". It matches the Rfam family "Bacterial small subunit ribosomal RNA", at positions 362 to 758 of the family's 1533-position model. The record is from RNAcentral.
UUUUGGACAAUGGACGAAAGUCUGAUCUAGCAAUGCCGCGUGCAGGACGAAGGCCUUCGGGUUGUAAACUGCUUUUGUACGGAACGAAAAAGUCUUUUUUAAUAAAGAGGGCUUAUGACGGUACCGUAAGAAUAAGCACCGGCUAACUACGUGCCAGCAGCCGCGGUAAUACGUAGGGUGCGAGCGUUAAUCGGAAUUACUGGGCGUAAAGCGUCCGCAGGCGGUUCUAUAAGACAGAUGUGAAAUCCCUGGGCUCAACCUAGGAACUGCAUUUGUGACUGUAGAGCUAGAGUACGGCAGAGGGGGAUGGAAUUCCGCGUGUAGCAGUGAAAUGCGUAGAUAUCGGAGGAACACCGAUGGCGAAGGCAAUCCCCUGGGCCUGUACUGACGCUCAUGACGAAA